GAUGAAGAACGUAGCGAAAUGCGAUAAGUAAUGUGAAUUGCAGAAUUCAGUGAAUCAUCGAAUCUUUGAACGCACAUUGCGCCCGCCAGUAUUCUGGCGAGCAUGCCUGUUCGAGCGUCAUUUCAACCAUCAAGCCCCAGGCUUGUGUUGGAGCCCUGCGGCUGCCGCAGCCUCCCAAAACCAGUGGCGGGCUCGCUAUCACACCGAGUGCAGUAGUUUACUCUUCGCUCAGGGCGUGUGGCGGGUGCUAGCCGUGAAACCCCCAACUUCUCAAGGUUGACCUCGGAUCAGGUAGGAAUACCCGCUGAACUUAAGCAUAUCUAUAAGCGGAGGA
This 334-nucleotide unclassified non-coding RNA is filed under the name soil metagenome. RNAcentral's name for it is "partial contains 5.8S ribosomal RNA, internal transcribed spacer 2, and large subunit ribosomal RNA". The stretch from base 1 to 120 matches the Rfam family "5.8S ribosomal RNA", at positions 35 to 154 of the family's 154-position model. The record is from RNAcentral.